AUAUAUAUAUAUAUAUCUCCACCUUGGUGUUGUGGCUUUCAGGUUAACUUCAGCAAAAGUUUCGCCGGAUGCGUUAGGCACGGUUCUGAGAUUGGAUUCUUUCAAUCCCCGUCCGUGCUCCGAGUAGAUGUCAGUUUCCAGGGAGAAUGCGAAUCGUCUGAGAUGUUGUCUGAGUGGCAGAAAAAAAAAAUCAAAGGGAGGAACAGUUUCUGGCUUCCUGAACAAAAGGGGAAAAAAUGGAACACUUUCACUUCGGAGAUGUACUUUUGCGUGUACGAAUUGCUCCUUGCCACAUGCAGGAACAAAACUGUUAACGUCACUGAAUUUUAGUGUGGAAAUCCUUUUGAAUUUCUGCUCAAAUCGUAGUGCUGAAGGAUACCGGAGGAACUAGCACAGCGUGGCUAUUUCAUUUUCACCAUGUUUAGUUAGCGUGCUAUUCUGAAUUUUUCAUGAAAAGUCUGUUUGGUAACUAGUGUCAUAUUAAAGGUUAAUCAUUUUCAUGGAUUACUAGUUGCUACCACAUCUACAGUUUUAUCUCUGAGAAAAUAUCAGCUUGAUUGUGAACAGUGCAUGCAGUUCUGCAUAUCCAUCUUGACCAGGUACAACCUGCCUCGGACAGAUUGUUAUGCAGAUAAAAUACUUUUUAGUAAGGGCAUGUCAUCUCAAUUAUCCUGAUCCACAAUAAAGCUGCUCCUUAAAUAAUUAUAACAUCCUCCAGGUGCAUGUAUCCCUGCAAACGAAAAGAGCCAUCAACGACUAGCCAAUGGAGUAUUCCUUCACCUACUACAGGCUCAAAUUCAACAUCGGUUGGCAAUGCAUGACUCGAGGAGGUCAAAAGUAAAGGAGCGAAAGGAACAAGACAAAGAAGAUACAGGUGUUUCACAUUCAUGCAAAAAGUGAUAUUGUUCUGAAUAUGAUUGUUCCUUUCGCUGCUAUACUUAGUUGAAAGAGAAAAGCAGAUAUAUGCAUAGCAGCGAAUAGGUGUUUCACAUUCAUGCAAAAGUGAUAUUGCUCUGAAUAUGAUUGUUCAGAACCCUGGACUUGAAACAAUGUCAACGUUGUUAUUCACAACCUAAAUUGUUUACCCAUAUGAAAUAAAUCAGAUAGAGGCUAGCUCUUUUCUUCACUGUA
Molecule: long non-coding RNA, 1131 nt
Organism: Panicum virgatum (switchgrass)
Lineage: Eukaryota; Viridiplantae; Streptophyta; Magnoliopsida; Poales; Poaceae
Exons: 2
Source: RefSeq, a predicted model, not a curated record